This is a non-coding RNA of Choloepus hoffmanni (Hoffmann's two-fingered sloth), 216 nucleotides long. The record is from Rfam. Lineage: Eukaryota; Metazoa; Chordata; Mammalia; Pilosa; Megalonychidae.
ACUUUGGAAGAGACCCCAAAGUAAAAGGUAAGAGGACUCUUUGUUUAAAACAUUAAAAAAAAAAAAGUCAAGCAAGAAAUUUUGUGGCAACAAUCUAAGCUCAGAGUUACUUAUAAGGAAUAUAAAUAAAGUUCAACCUGUGGCAAAUUUGCACUUUCUCCUUGAACUAUGUUGCUCUCAAAGAAAAAGGUUUGAAAGGAUCAAAACUAAAACUAG